Equus asinus (donkey) is the source of this 3325-nucleotide long non-coding RNA. Lineage: Eukaryota; Metazoa; Chordata; Mammalia; Perissodactyla; Equidae. The record is from Ensembl.
GUGCUCAUGGGAUGCUCCCAUCUGCCCUGGCUUCUGCAGAGCAGCUCUAGCUUAGGGACAUUUUCUACCAGUGCCACAUACUUUCCCUUCUGUAUAAAAUGGUCAGAGGGAUCAGCCCUUAGGACUCCCUAAUGCCUCAGUGAUAGAAACCCACCCUCCAAAAUUGCGCCCUCACCACUUUGAGAAUGUUGCGUUUAGAGAACAAUUGUCUUCACGUGUUCAACAUUGUCCUGUUAUUUAUGAGGUUUUCAACCACCUGGAAGCCAGGCAAAUACUGACCCAAGCUCGGAACUGUGCGCUGACCCAAGGACAAAAGAGUAUUCUCCAUAUGCAUUCCCUGGGCCUGUUGGUUGCCAAGAUGGGGACCCUUGAAAGUCCAGCGUGGCUUAGUCUUGAUUUCAAAGAGGCAAACGAAGAGUUCCGGCGGCCGGAAAGUCCAAGAUCACCGCGCCCGCAGCUUCGGCGUCUGGUCUCAUAUGGCUGAAAUCAAGAUGUUGGAUGGCUGUGUCAUCUUCAGGAGGUUUGACUGGGGAAAGACCCACUUCCAAGCCCAUUUAGAUUACACAUUCCAGGACAGGAAAUUCCUCCUCUCCCUGGAGAGAUCUGCUUACAUUCUAGAGGAAAGAAGAAUUGGGACAAUAACACAGAUCAGGAAAAGCGAAUAGACAAGGAGAAUCUUAAGAAAUGACUCCCUAGAUCCAGCCCACAGUCCGAGGGAGGGGAUUAUACAAGGAAGUGAAUACCAGACAGUGUGGAUUAUUUGUGGCCAUCCCAGAGGACUGGGGACAAAGGUCAGUUUUGAGCAUGCAGAUGAGGGCAAUGCACUAGGAUGGGGUGAAGAAACAGAUUGGAAGGAACUGGGUUUCUGAAUGACCACAUGGAGCCAAGUUGCCUGCCAACCUGCUCUGCUGACUCCAGACUGUAACGUGAGAAAUAAGCCACUGAAUUAUUCCUGGCUCCCUGUGACAGCAGCCUAGGUUUUACCCCUGCUAAUACAUUUACCAAGUUAAGUAACCUCAUUGAGUGUCACUUUCGUUAUCUGUAAAGGGAGAAUAAUGUUGAUACAUCCCUUGGAAGGCUGUGGUGAUAAAUAUACAAGAUAAUCCAGACAAAGUGCUUGGUCCAGUGCCCUUCUCAUGGUAAUUUUUUAAAUAAGUGGUUUCUACUAGAAUGAAGAAUGAAGAUAAUUCCAUCUUUGGUUUGGAUGAUGGAUAUAGAGCUAGGAAAGCAGAUGGAGUUGGUGAACUGACAGAAAGACCUGAACUGAUUGAAACAGACUUGCCAUGAGUGGAACCCUAGUAUUCAUAUUUUUUAAAAGUUCCCCAGAUAGCUCUGGUGAGUACCUUGGUUUGGAUACACGUACUUUAUAUUGGCUCUGUAUGUCAUAUAGUAUUCCGUUAAUUAAAUGCCUUAAUGCUUUCCUUUGAGAGAAAGAUCAAUCUAGAAUUCCUGAUAUUCCCAUAAGUGCUAGAAAAGGGAAGUAUAAUAGGCCAAAUUAGUCAUAUUCAAUGAAACACAUUUCUUGUUGAUACUGAUGUCGAAAACAAACAAACAAAAAAACUGCAUGAGAGACUUCUAUUUGGGGCGGUAUUAUCAUCUACAUUCUCCAAAGAUUCUUCUUAUUAGAUCCUGCAGAAGACUUGAGUUUUCUGGCACUUCUGGGCUCAGGAGAUAAGGGAAAUCUUCAAGCCCAUAAAUCCAACCCAAGCAAACAAAGCUGUGAGCUGAAACUUGGGAGGUGCGUUGCGAGCAGACACGUGGAGUGAGGCUGCCUUACAUGCUAAAUCAGCACCGAGACAAGGAGACCGACUCCUGAGUCUGCUUACAGUUGAGGGGAUGAACCUGAGGCUCCAGGUGAAGCUGGAGAUCCUGAAGGGAGCCAAAUCGGUCCCAGAUCAGUGGUGUCCUUGGGCUAUUGGCUGAAGCAAAUGUGAAUCAUCUCUGGAGGAGAGCAUGCCCCACAUAAGGGCCUAGGAGUUCAAGGGAUAAAGAUAAACCAAAUAUGAGCUGAUAAGUGAAGACCAACAAACACACAAGGGAACACGCCCUCACAAGUGAAGAAAGAAACCCAAAGGACAUCAGAUACUGCAGUUCUCAUUUUCCAAACAGCAUAACUCUGUAGACAGUUUUUUUUAAAAAAAAACAGACUUAUUGAGAUAUACUUCACAUACUGUACAAUUUACCCUUUUAACCCAUUUAAAGUGAGCAAGUCAAUGGUUUUUAGUAUAUUCACAGAUAUGUGCAAGCAUCACCAGAGUCAAUUUUAGAACAUUUUCAUCACCUCAAAAAAAAAAUUCCAUAUCCUUUAGCUGUCAUCACUGUCUCCUGUUUCCUGCCCCCCCCCUAGUUUAGGCAACCACUGGUCUAGUUUCCAUCUCUAGAGACCUCCCUAUUCUGGACUUUCAUAUGAAUGAAAUCAUAGAGUGUAUGGUCUUUUGUGACUGGCUUCUUUCACUCAGCAUAAUGUUUUCAAGGUUCAUCUACAUUGUAGUAUAUCAGUAUGUCUUUCCUUUUUGUCUCUGAAUAAUAUUCUGUACAUUUCGUUGUAUGACUAUACCAGAUUUUGUUUAUCCAUUUAUCCAUUGAUAGACAUUUGAGUUGUUCCCACAUUUUGGUUAUUACAAAUAAUGCUGCUAUAAACAAUCAUGUACAAAUGUCUGUGUUUUCACUUUUGUUGGGUAUUUACUGAAGAAUGAAAUUGCUGGGUUAUAUGGUAACCAUGUGUUUAAUCAUUUGAGGAACUGCCGGGCUGUUUUCCAAAGUGGCUGCGCUAUUCUACAGCCUCAACAGCAGGAGGGCUCUGAUUCCUCCACGUCCUGGCCUUGUUAUCUGACAUUUUGAUUCCAGCCAUCCUGGUGGGUAUGCAGUGGUAACUCAUUGUGGUUUUGAUUUGCAUCUCCCUCAAGAUGGCAAGCAUCUCUUCGUGGGUUUGGAUGCCAUCUGCAUAUCUUCUUUGGAGGAGAAACUGACGUAAACAUGGAGUGAGCUGGUGCAUACUUAGAUCAGGAACUUCUCGGAGGAUCUUUCGUAAGACUGGGAGGAUGGGUGUUCCACUCCCUCCAAUUAUUUGAAGUUUUAGUCCUUCUGAGGCAUUUCAAUUAGUUAAAUCUGAUCUGUAAUUACCUCAGUUCUUCUUUGAGAAAAGGAGAACACUGAGGAGGCUGCCAAAUUGACUGUACAUCUGGGAGCUCUCCAUUGAGAAGUCCAGAGAGGCUCUGCUGUGGUCAACCUCACGCUUACCUUGAAAGGAUUUGCAGUUCCGAGCUCUUGGAAGGGUCCAGGUUCCUAUCUGCAUUAAGCUACAGAGAAGGGGAGAAACAUUUUC